Molecule: small RNA, 2419 nt
Filed under: Pan troglodytes (chimpanzee)
Lineage: Eukaryota; Metazoa; Chordata; Mammalia; Primates; Hominidae
Description: retained intron
Source: RNAcentral
AACAGAACCCGACGCAGACACGCGCUUUCAACCGGCGGAGACACUGGCAGGGCCAGAAACGCGCGCAGUGGGGGCGGGAAGUCAGUAAGCUCCCCGCCCCGGCCCCAGACCCCGCCCCGGCCCGGCCCCGCCUUUUUCUCUCCUCCCCUCCCUGCAUGUACGGGCCCCGCCCCUCGCGCGACGUUUUUUGUUGACCCGGAAACGGAUUCUCCGGAGCCAAGGUCCGCUCGGAUUUGUCUUCUUAGUGCUUGGAUGGUGUGAGUGAAAACCCAGAGGAAUACAUUUGGUGGCUGAGCUAGUACAAUGCCAUCACCGGAUUCCAUGACCUUCGAGGAUAUCAUUGUAGACUUCACUCAAGAAGAGUGGGCCCUGCUGGACACAUCCCAGAGAAAGCUGUUUCAAGAUGUGAUGUUGGAGAACAUCAGUCAUCUGGUCUCUAUUGGUGAGUCUCUUUAUAUUUAUUAUGUAUGUAUAUAUGGAUUCAUUCACUCACUCAUUUUUCACUGAUUCAUUCUUUCAUUCUACACGUGCUUAGAACAGCUUUCUCAUCUAUCACUUCAACUUCUGCUUUGAUCCUUUCAUAACUCUCACAAUUACCUGACAGCCAUUUCUUUCCUUUUCACUUAUAUUGAUUUGUCCUCUCUCUAGAAAGUCAUCUUUCUGACCACAAUUUCACAUCCUUCUUGCUCUUCAAUCUCCCAAACUCAGAAAAGUUAUGGUAAUUCACUGCUUUUGUAUGCAUAAAUAAAUGUAUUGAUUUCUUUAAAGUAAUUAUUCUAUCAUAGGGACUGUUCUGCACAGAACCUAGAUUGUUCUGGUGGAGCUAAUAUUUAUUGCAUAGUUUUUUAAUAUAAUGUCAAACACUAUGACAAUUUGUAAUUUCUCACUAAGUGAAAAUACUGAGGAUUCUGAAAUCAGUAUUUGAAGUGAGGCAUGGCCAUCAGCAAUUAUAGGUCUUUUAUGUCUGGGAACAAGUUCAAGAGUUUUCAUUUUGCUCAUGAAGGACUGUCAAUGUUGUCUUCAAGGUACUCUUCCCAGGCUGACCUUCAGUGGCUAACUUAUCCUUCCCAGUAGGCUGCCCUGUAUCUGAUAACCUUGUACAUUUGUCAGCACAGAACUCAAAAUCCAUGUAUCUUUUUCCCCAAAACAGGCAAACAGCUCUGCAAAUCAGUUGUGCUUUCCCAAUUGGAGCAAGUAGAGAAACUUUCAACACAAAGAAUAAGCUUCCUGCAAGGUGAGCUCUAAGAAGCAGUGCUUCAAUAGGAGGAGGAGAAACAUGGCCAGUGAGUGAGUAGGACCCAACAGUUGCCAAAGGAAGAUUUCUUUUGUUUUUUUAGACAGAAUCUCACUCUGUCACCCAGGCUGGAGUGCAGUGGCAUGAUCUCGGCUCACUGCAACCUCUGCUUCCCAGAUUCAAGUGAUUAUCUUGCCUCAGCCUCCUGAGUAGCUAGGACUACAGGUGUGCACCACCAUGCCCAGCUAAUUUUUUUCUAUUUUUAAUAGAGACAGGGUUUCAACAUGUUGGCCAGGCUGGUCUCGAACUCCUGACCUCAAGAAAUCCACCCGCCUCAGCCUCCCAGAGUGCUGGGAUUACAGUCAUGAACCACCACGCCAAGCCGGAAGAUUUCUUAAAUUUGCAGUGUUUCUGAAAUGUAGGCAAAAACCUGAGGGAAACAUUUCUCAGAUAUUGUCAUUAUACUUUGUAGUUAUCAAUUUUUAUUCAAGUAUCUCUCUGUCAUUGUCUUUGUCUUUUGUAAAGGGGAUUUUUGUGUACUUAUUUGAGUUAAAGUAUUACAUACUAGCCCUUUAUAAUGGUCCUCUUCUUUGAAAAUUUUUCUUUCCUUUACUUCCUCGACUUGCCUUUAUUUUUUUAUAUGCUGAAAAUGUCAGUAGUCAAUGUGCUAUAAUACUCUUCUCCUUAAAGUGUGGUUAAUUUAACAUUCUUUCCCUGUCUGUCUGUAUUUGAAACACACUCAAAUGGACAUUGGAGCUAUUUAACAUUUUUAUUCCCCUAAUGCCUAUAUAGCAUCUUUUUUUUUUUCAUUUAUUUCAGGUAGAGAAGUUGGCAUUAAACAUCAAGAGAUACCAUUCAUUCAACAUAUCUAUCAGAAGGGCACGUCCACCAUCAGCACAAUGAGAUCUCAUACUCAAGAGGAUCCUUUUCUAUGCAAUGAUUUAGGAGAAGAUUUCACUCAACAUAUGGCAUUGACUCAAAAUGUGAUUACUUACAUGAGAAAGAAACACUUUGUGAGCAAAAAGUUUGGGAAAAUCUUCAGUGACUGGUUAUCCUUUAAUCAACACAAGGAAAUUCACACCAAAUGUAAAUCAUAUGAAAGUCAUCUAUUUGAUUAUGCCUUUAUCCAAAACUCUGCCCUUAGACCACACAGUGUGACUCACACUAGAGAGAUAACAUUGGAAU